UAGGGAAUCUUCGGCAAUGGACGGAAGUCUGACCGAGCAACGCCGCGUGAGUGAAGAAGGUUUUCGGAUCGUAAAGCUCUGUUGUUAGAGAAGAACGUUGGUAGGAGUGGAAAAUCUACCAAGUGACGGUAACUAACCAGAAAGGGACGGCUAACUACGUGCCAGCAGCCGCGGUAAUACGUAGGUCCCGAGCGUUGUCCGGAUUUAUUGGGCGUAAAGCGAGCGCAGGCGGUUCUUUAAGUCUGAAGUUAAAGGCAGUGGCUUAACCAUUGUACGCUUUGGAAACUGGAGGACUUGAGUGCAGAAGGGGAGAGUGGAAUUCCAUGUGUAGCGGUGAAAUGCGUAGAUAUAUGGAGGAACACCGGUGGCGAAAGCGGCUCUCUGGUCUGUAACUGACGCUGAGGCUCGAAAGCGUGGGGAGCAAACAGGAUUAGAUACCCUGGUAGCCCACGCCGUAAACGAUGAGUGCUAGGUGUUAGGCCCUUUCCGGGGCUUAGUGCCGCAGCUAACGCAUUAAGCACUCCGCCUGGGGAGUACGACCGCAAGGUUG
RNAcentral lists this ribosomal RNA (550 nucleotides) under uncultured bacterium. RNAcentral describes it as "bacterial SSU rRNA". It matches the Rfam family "Bacterial small subunit ribosomal RNA", at positions 355 to 896 of the family's 1533-position model. The record is from RNAcentral.